GAUGAACGCUGGCGGCGUGCCUAAUACAUGCAAGUCGAGCGAACAGACGAGGAGCUUGCUCCUCUGACGUUAGCGGCGGACGGGUGAGUAACACGUGGAUAACCUACCUAUAAGACUGGGAUAACUUCGGGAAACCGGAGCUAAUACCGGAUAAUAUAUUGAACCGCAUGGUUCAAUAGUGAAAGACGGUUUUGCUGUCACUUAUAGAUGGAUCCGCGCCGCAUUAGCUAGUUGGUAAGGUAACGGCUUACCAAGGCAACGAUGCGUAGCCGACCUGAGAGGGUGAUCGGCCACACUGGAACUGAGACACGGUCCAGACUCUUACGGGAGGCAGCAGUAGGGAAUCUUCCGCAAUGGGCGAAAGCCUGACGGAGCAACGCCGCGUGAGUGAUGAAGGUCUUCGGAUCGUAAAACUCUGUUAUUAGGGAAGAACAAAUGUGUAAGUAACUGUGCACGUCUUGACGGUACCUAAUCAGAAAGCCACGGCUAACUACGUG
Molecule: ribosomal RNA, 497 nt
Filed under: uncultured bacterium
Lineage: Bacteria
Description: partial 16S ribosomal RNA
Rfam family: Bacterial small subunit ribosomal RNA
Source: RNAcentral